Molecule: ribosomal RNA, 139 nt
Filed under: Acanthamoeba sp. KUK6
Lineage: Eukaryota; Discosea; Longamoebia; Acanthamoebidae
Description: partial 18S ribosomal RNA
Source: RNAcentral
AAAUAGAGUGUCAAAGCACGGCAGAUCUAAUUUUCUAUGCCACCGAAUACAUUAGCAUGGGAUAAUGGAAUAAGGACCUGAUCCUCUAUUUUCAGAUUGGUUUAUGGCAGGCGAAGGACUAGGGUAGAUUGAUUAAUAG